RNAcentral lists this ribosomal RNA (253 nucleotides) under uncultured bacterium. Its description in RNAcentral is "partial 16S ribosomal RNA". It matches the Rfam family "Bacterial small subunit ribosomal RNA", at positions 524 to 776 of the family's 1533-position model. The record is from RNAcentral. RNAcentral also lists the same sequence under 1 other name.
GACAGAGGUGCCAAGCGUUAGGCGGAAUCACUGGGCUUAAAGCGUGUGUAGGCGGGUCGUUAAGUGUCUUGUGAAAUCCCCCGGCUCAACCGGGGAAUGGCUGGGCAUACUGGCGAUCUUGAGCAGUCUAGGGGCAGAUGGAACAGACGGUGGAGCGGUGAAAUGCGUAGAUAUCGUCUGGAACGCCAAAGGUGAAGACAGUCUGCUGGGGACUUGCUGACGCUGAGACACGAAAGCCAGGGGAGCGAACGGG